This 316-nucleotide ribosomal RNA is filed under the name uncultured bacterium. RNAcentral describes it as "bacterial SSU rRNA". It matches the Rfam family "Bacterial small subunit ribosomal RNA", at positions 28 to 334 of the family's 1533-position model. The record is from RNAcentral.
GAUGAACGCUAGCUACAGGCUUAACACAUGCAAGUCGAGGGGCAGCAUGAAAGUUUGCUUGCAAACUUUUGAUGGCGACCGGCGCACGGGUGAGUAACACGUAUCCAACCUGCCUCAUACUCGGGGAUAGCCUUUCGAAAGAAAGAUUAAUACCCGAUGUUAUAGUCCUACCGCAUGAUGGGAUUAUUAAAGAAUUUCGGUAUGGGAUGGGGAUGCGUUCCAUUAGAUAGUAGGCGGGGUAACGGCCCACCUAGUCAACGAUGGAUAGGGGUUCUGAGAGGAAGGUCCCCCACAUUGGAACUGAGACACGGUCCAA